Molecule: long non-coding RNA, 466 nt
Organism: Chelonia mydas (Green sea turtle)
Lineage: Eukaryota; Metazoa; Chordata; Testudines; Cheloniidae
Exons: 3
Source: RefSeq, a predicted model, not a curated record
ACUGAUUGCUGGAGCUUGAAGACUCAGCCCAAAAGCUGUUGAGGCUGCGUGGCCUGCCCUGGUGGAUGCAUUUGACCCCUGGGGAAUCUGGCACGCUAGAGGGUUCCUGCUGCCCACAACAGCUGGGAUCCGGUUUAGAAUGAAAGCUUAACUCAGGACCCGUCACGGGGGCUGAGUAAAUACAUCACAUCCAUACAUCUGGCACGACUGCCUAAGAUCAACGGUUCUCUUGGCGGGGAACAAAACACCUUGGAAGUUGCCAGAAAAGGUCACCCUCCAGGCGGCUCUGCCCUCAAGUCCCUUGCCGAGCUGUGGCUCAAAUAGAUGUCCCUGGCUGGAGAAGGAUGCUUUUGUGGUGCGGAAUGGGGUGUCGGGUGAUCUGGAAAGGGGCUGGGGGUGACAGACCAGAGCUGGGAGGGUAUGGGGGGCAGACAUCAGAUUGCGUGCUGGGGGCUCUCACCUUGAG